RNAcentral lists this ribosomal RNA (253 nucleotides) under uncultured prokaryote. RNAcentral's name for it is "partial 16S ribosomal RNA". It matches the Rfam family "Bacterial small subunit ribosomal RNA", at positions 524 to 776 of the family's 1533-position model. The record is from RNAcentral.
UACGGGGGGGGCAAGCGUUGUUCGGAAUUACUGGGCGUAAAGGGCGCGUAGGCGGUCGCGUAAGUCGGAUGUGAAAUCCCGGGGCUCAACCCCGGAACUGCAUUCGAUACUGCGUGGCUAGGGUACUGGAGAGGAAACUGGAAUUUACGGUGUAGCAGUGAAAUGCGUAGAUAUCGUAAGGAAGACCAGUGGCGAAGGCGAGUUUCUGGACAGUUACCGACGCUGAGGCACGAAGGCCAGGGGAGCAAACGGG